AUUGAACGCUGGCGGCAGGCCUAACACAUGCAAGUCGAACGGUAACAGGAAGCAGCUUGCUGCUUCGCUGACGAGUGGCGGACGGGUGAGUAAUGUCUGGGAAACUGCCUGAUGGAGGGGGAUAACUACUGGAAACGGUAGCUAAUACCGCAUAACGUCGCAAGACCAAAGAGGGGGACCUUCGGGCCUCUUGCCAUCGGAUGUGCCCUGAUGGGAUUAGCUAGUAGGUGGGGUAACGGCUCACCUAGGCGACGAUCCCUAGCUGGUCUGAGAGGAUGACCAGCCACACUGGAACUGAGACACGGUCCAGACUCCUACGGGAGGCAGCAGUGGGGAAUAUUGCACAAUAGGCGCAAGCCUGAUGCAGCCAUGCCGCGUGUAUGAAGAAGGCCUUCGGGUUGUAAAGUACUUUCAGCGGGGAGGAAGGGAGUAAAGUUAAUACCUUUGCUCAUUGACGUUACCCGCAGAAGAAGCACCGGCUAACUACGUG
RNAcentral lists this ribosomal RNA (490 nucleotides) under uncultured bacterium. RNAcentral's name for it is "partial 16S ribosomal RNA". It matches the Rfam family "Bacterial small subunit ribosomal RNA", at positions 30 to 507 of the family's 1533-position model. The record is from RNAcentral.